Non-coding RNA from Treponema sp. JC4, 73 nucleotides. The record is from Rfam. Lineage: Bacteria; Pseudomonadati; Spirochaetota; Spirochaetia; Treponematales; Treponemataceae.
GGGCCAUUAGCUCAGCGGUUAGAGCAGAGGACUCAUAAUCCUUUGGUCCUUGGUUCAAAUCCAAGAUGGCCCA